AACGCUAGCUACAGGCUUAACACAUGCAAGUCGAGGGGCAGCAUGGUCUUAGCUUGCUAAGGCUGAUGGCGACCGGCGCACGGGUGAGUAACACGUAUCCAACCUGCCGUCUACUCUUGGCCAGCCUUCUGAAAGGAAGAUUAAUCCAGGAUGGCAUCAUGAGUUCACAUGUCCGCAUGAUUAAAGGUAUUUUCCGGUAGACGAUGGGGAUGCGUUCCAUUAGAUAGUAGGCGGGGUAACGGCCCACCUAGUCAACGAUGGAUAGGGGUUCUGAGAGGAAGGUCCCCCACAUUGGAACUGAGACACGGUCCAAACUCCUACGGGAGGCAGCAGUGAGGAAUAUUGGUCAAUGGGCGAUGGCCUGAACCAGCCAAGUAGCGUGAAGGAUGACUGCCCUAUGGGUUGUAAACUUCUUUUAUAAAGGAAUAAAGUCGGGUAUGCAUACCCGUUUGCAUGUACUUUAUGAAUAAGGAUCGGCUAACUCCGUGCCAGCAGCCGCGGUAAUACGGAGGAUCCGAGCGUUAUCCGGAUUUAUUGGGUUUAAAGGGAGCGUAGGCGGACGCUUAAGUCAGUUGUGAAAGUUUGCGGCUCAACCGUAAAACUGCAGUUGAUACUGGGUGUCUUGAGUACAGUAGAGGCAGGCGGAAUUCGUGGUGUAGCGGUGAAAUGCUUAGAUAUCACGAAGAACUCCGAUUG
RNAcentral lists this ribosomal RNA (696 nucleotides) under uncultured bacterium. RNAcentral describes it as "bacterial SSU rRNA". It matches the Rfam family "Bacterial small subunit ribosomal RNA", at positions 32 to 715 of the family's 1533-position model. The record is from RNAcentral.